GAGUUUGAUCCUGGCUCAGAACGAACGCUGGCGGCAUGCCUAACACAUGCAAGUCGAACGAGACCUUCGGGUCUAGUGGCGCACGGGUGCGUAACGCGUGGGAAUCUGCCCUUGGGUUCGGAAUAACACAGAGAAAUUUGUGCUAAUACCGGAUGAUGUCUUCGGACCAAAGAUUUAUCGCCCAAGGAUGAGCCCGCGUAGGAUUAGGUAGUUGGUGGGGUAAUGGCCUACCAAGCCGACGAUCCUUAGCUGGUCUGAGAGGAUGAUCAGCCACACUGGGACUGAGACACGGCCCAGACUCCUACGGGAGGCAGCAGUGGGGAAUAUUGGACAAUGGGCGAAAGCCUGAUCCAGCAAUGCCGCGUGAGUGAUGAAGGCCUUAGGGUUGUAAAGCUCUUUUACCAGGGAUGAUAAUGACAGUACCUGGAGAAUAAGCUCCGGCUAACUCCGUGCCAGCAGCCGCGGUAAUACG
This 472-nucleotide ribosomal RNA is filed under the name uncultured eubacterium WR117. RNAcentral's name for it is "bacterial SSU rRNA". It matches the Rfam family "Bacterial small subunit ribosomal RNA", at positions 9 to 527 of the family's 1533-position model. RNAcentral also lists the same sequence under 1 other name. The record is from RNAcentral.